This 490-nucleotide ribosomal RNA is filed under the name uncultured bacterium. RNAcentral's name for it is "partial 16S ribosomal RNA". It matches the Rfam family "Bacterial small subunit ribosomal RNA", at positions 29 to 507 of the family's 1533-position model. The record is from RNAcentral.
AAUGAACGCUGGCGGCAUGCCUUACACAUGCAAGUCGAACGGCAGCAUGACCUAGCUUGCUAGGUUGAUGGCGAGUGGCGAACGGGUGAGUAAUGCAUCGGAACGUGCCUUUUAGUGGGGGAUAACGUAGCGAAAGUUACGCUAAUACCGCAUAUUCUCUGAGGAGGAAAGCAGGGGACCUUCGGGCCUUGCGCUAGAAGAGCGGCCGAUGUCGGAUUAGCUAGUUGGUGAGGUAAAGGCUCACCAAGGCAACGAUCCGUAGCGGGUCUGAGAGGAUGAUCCGCCACACUGGGACUGAGACACGGCCCAGACUCCUACGGGAGGCAGCAGUGGGGAAUUUUGGACAAUGGGCGCAAGCCUGAUCCAGCCAUGCCGCGUGAGUGAAGAAGGCCUUCGGGUUGAAAAGCUCUUUCGGCUGGGAAGAAAUCGCACCCUCUAAUACAGGGUGUGGAUGACGGUACCAGCAUAAGAAGCACCGGCUAACUACGUG